This 455-nucleotide ribosomal RNA is filed under the name uncultured Rhodoferax sp. Its description in RNAcentral is "bacterial SSU rRNA". It matches the Rfam family "Bacterial small subunit ribosomal RNA", at positions 925 to 1382 of the family's 1533-position model. The record is from RNAcentral. Lineage: Bacteria; Pseudomonadati; Pseudomonadota; Betaproteobacteria; Burkholderiales; Comamonadaceae.
ACAAGCGGUGGAUGAUGUGGUUUAAUUCGAUGCAACGCGAAAACCUUACCCACCUUUGACAUGUACGGAAUCCUUUAGAGAUAGAGGAGUGCUCGAAAGAGAGCCGUAACACAGGUGCUGCAUGGCUGUCGUCAGCUCGUGUCGUGAGAUGUUGGGUUAAGUCCCGCAACGAGCGCAACCCUUGUCAUUAGUUGCUACAUUCAGUUGGGCACUCUAAUGAGACUGCCGGUGACAAGCCGGAGGAAGUGGGGAUGACGUCAAGUCCUCAUGGCCCUUAUAGGUGGGGCUACACACGUCAUACAAUGGCCGAUACAAAGGGCAGCGACACUGCGAGGUGAAGCCAAUCCCGUAAAAUCGGUCUCAGUCCGGAUUGGAGUCUGCAACUCGACUCCAUGAAGUUGGAAUCGCUAGUAAUCGUGGAUCAGCAUGCCACGGUGAAUACGUUCCCGGGCCUU